AAAGUUUUAUCUAUUUGUCUUGACCAAAUCUUGUGCCAGCAGUCGCGGCAACACAAGGAAGACAAGUGUUAUUCAUCUUAAAUCGGUUUAAGGGGUACCUAGACGGUAAAUUACGCCAUAGUAGGAACGUUUUUACUAGAGUUAUACAUGCAUGGGGAUUGUGUCAGUAUUACCAGAGUAGAGAUGAAAUUUUUUGAUACUGUUAAGACUGGUAAAGGCGAAAGCAAACCUUUAUAUAUUAACUGACGUUGAGGGACGAAGGCUUGGGGAGCAAACAGGAUUAGAUACCCUAAUAGUCCAGGCAGAGAAUUA
This 312-nucleotide ribosomal RNA is filed under the name Astrothelium sanguinarium. Its description in RNAcentral is "mitochondrial SSU rRNA". It matches the Rfam family "Bacterial small subunit ribosomal RNA", at positions 472 to 809 of the family's 1533-position model. Lineage: Eukaryota; Fungi; Ascomycota; Dothideomycetes; Trypetheliales; Trypetheliaceae. The record is from RNAcentral.